GCCUUUGAGGAUGAAUAGAAAAUAACUUUCCUUCUUCCGAGAUGUUUCAUGCGGAAAUUUUUUGGAGACCUGAACUGAAGAAGCU
Small nucleolar RNA from Alnus glutinosa, 85 nucleotides. RefSeq annotates it as small nucleolar RNA Z159/U59. The transcript has a single exon. The record is from RefSeq and is a predicted model, not a curated record. Lineage: Eukaryota; Viridiplantae; Streptophyta; Magnoliopsida; Fagales; Betulaceae.